UACGUAGGUGACGAGCGUUGUCCGGAUUUACUGGGCGUAAAGGGCGCGUAGGCGGCCAUUCAAGUCGGGGGUGAAAGCCUGUGGCUCAACCACAGAAUUGCCUUCGAUACUGUUUGGCUUGAGUAUGGUAGAGGUCAGUGGAACUGCGAGUGUAGAGGUGAAAUUCGUAGAUAUUCGCAAGAACACCAGUGGCGAAGGCGGCUGACUGGACCAUUACUGACGCUGAGGCGCGAAAGCGUGGGGAGCAAACAGG
Molecule: ribosomal RNA, 253 nt
Filed under: uncultured bacterium
Lineage: Bacteria
Description: partial 16S ribosomal RNA
Rfam family: Bacterial small subunit ribosomal RNA
Source: RNAcentral